This 581-nucleotide ribosomal RNA is filed under the name Stenotrophomonas sp. HRTP038. Its description in RNAcentral is "bacterial SSU rRNA". It matches the Rfam family "Bacterial small subunit ribosomal RNA", at positions 102 to 679 of the family's 1533-position model. The record is from RNAcentral. Lineage: Bacteria; Pseudomonadati; Pseudomonadota; Gammaproteobacteria; Lysobacterales; Lysobacteraceae.
ACGGGUGAGGAAUACAUCGGAAUCUACUUUUUCGUGGGGGAUAACGUAGGGAAACUUACGCUAAUACCGCAUACGACCUACGGGUGAAAGCAGGGGACCUUCGGGCCUUGCGCGAUUGAAUGAGCCGAUGUCGGAUUAGCUAGUUGGCGGGGUAAAGGCCCACCAAGGCGACGAUCCGUAGCUGGUCUGAAAGGAUGAUCAGCCACACUGGAACUGAGACACGGUCCAGACUCCUACGGGAGGCAGCAGUGGGGAAUAUUGGACAAUGGGCGCAAGCCUGAUCCAGCCAUACCGCGUGGGUGAAGAAGGCCUUCGGGUUGUAAAGCCCUUUUGUUGGGAAAGAAAUCCAGCCGGCUAAUACCUGGUUGGGAUGACGGUACCCAAAGAAUAAGCACCGGCUAACUUCGUGCCAGCAGCCGCGGUAAUACGAAGGGUGCAAGCGUUACUCGGAAUUACUGGGCGUAAAGCGUGCGUAGGUGGUUGUUUAAGUCUGUUGUGAAAGCCCUGGGCUCAACCUGGGAACUGCAGUGGAAACUGGACAACUAGAGUGUGGUAGAGGGUAGCGGAAUUCCCGGUGUAGC